RNAcentral lists this long non-coding RNA (795 nucleotides) under Struthio camelus australis. RNAcentral's name for it is "lncRNA (ENSSCUG00000016271.1)". Lineage: Eukaryota; Metazoa; Chordata; Aves; Struthioniformes; Struthionidae. The record is from RNAcentral.
ACCGCCAGCAAUAAGCCUGUAGAGGAGCAAAGUCCGUAUCAGUGCGCUCGGGGUGAGUCUGACCAGCUCGUCCCAUACUGCCAUGCUUACUGCAGUGCUCUUCCUACAGUACCAUCCUUCGUAAUCUAUACUCCUCAGUGAAUUCAUGCCUUAUGUUUAUCACAAAAGCCCAGUCAGGAAUAGCAGCAGAAGAAAACGUUGUAGAAGUCUGCUCAAAACCAAGAAUAACAUGUUAAAGAUCCACUGUAGACUCACUGCCUGCGUGACAUAAGGAUUCGUGAUGUGCGUGUAGCUGACCUGUGAGGGUUCAGCUGACCUGUGAGGGUUCAGCUGGAUAUAACCUUGUGAUCUUCUUAAAAAUAUCUUGUCUUUAUCAUAAGAUAUAAGACGCAAAUUAUUAUUCAGAUUCUUUGCCAACCGCAGAUUUAAAAUCUCUGGGUAUUUCUCAUGUCUGAUCCUCUCAGGGCUGUGAUGUUGAUGCUGCCAGGGAGGACUGCAGAGGUUUUCUACGAAAUCAGUUUUUCCUGUCUGGAUUGUGGCAAACUGCAGCCAAAGAUCAUCACCGCUGUCUGGAACUGGUCUGCUGCAGAAGAAUCGGAGCAGCGUGAUGUGGAGCUGUCAUCCCUGUGCGAUAGAUUGCAAAAUGGGUUAGUCCUCCCUUUCUUACCUCUGCUCCUGGAUAUCGCUCUCAUUUCACUUACUUAGGCAUUGUCACCGCUGCUGGUAUAUCCGAAGCAAGCCAGUGCAGGAAGAAAUGGAAGGAGCUCUCUCCAACACAGCACAGCCACCUGGAAG